This 477-nucleotide small RNA is filed under the name Arabidopsis thaliana (thale cress). Its description in RNAcentral is "ATSL216220". The record is from RNAcentral. Lineage: Eukaryota; Viridiplantae; Streptophyta; Magnoliopsida; Brassicales; Brassicaceae.
UAUUAUUAUUUUUACUAAAAACGUUGCAAGAUAAUUUUUCUUUUCAUAAGAUUCUUUUCUCUAAAUCUUUGUGGUAUCUAAAAAAAAAAAAAAAAAAAAAAAAAAAAAAAAAAUUGUUCAUGGUUUUGCCCUAAUUUUGCACGAAAUCAUUUUACCCAAAAUCUUGCACGAAUUCAUAUUAGCCUAAAUAAAAGUUUUGUCAAGAUAUAUGUAAAAUCCAGAUUUUGCACAAAAUAGUUUUAUUCUGAUUGGUUUUACAAUAUUGCAUUAAAAUUGUAUUAGUAUAUCAUACUUGAUUAUUUUAUGAAAUAAAUUGAUUGAUAAAUAACUUAAUUUAAAGGUAUAAUCACUUAUAAAAAUUUUCAUGAAUGACUAGUUUAAUGUAUCUUAAGAAGAUAUCAUAUUUUUGAUGGUCAAAGUUUUUUCAAGAACUUAAAUUAUCACCAGAAGUUGAGAAAAUAAAUAUGGUAAAAAAAA